RNAcentral lists this ribosomal RNA (325 nucleotides) under uncultured eukaryote. RNAcentral describes it as "partial 18S ribosomal RNA". It matches the Rfam family "Eukaryotic small subunit ribosomal RNA", at positions 1470 to 1796 of the family's 1831-position model. The record is from RNAcentral.
CCCUUAGAUGUCCUGGGCCGCACGCGCGCUACACUGAUGCAUUCAACGAGUUUCACCUUGGCCGAGAGGCCUGGGCAAUCUUUUAAACCUGCAUCGUGAUAGGGAUAGAUUAUUGCAAUUGUUAAUCUUGAACGAGGAAUUCCUAGUAAACGCAAAUCAUCAAUUUGCAUUGAUUACGUCCCCGCCCUUUGUACACACCGCCCGUCGCACCUACCGAUUGAAUGGUCCGGUGAAGCCUCGGGAUUGUGGCCAGUUCACUUUAUUGGGAGUUGGCUGUGAGAACUUGUCUAAACCUUAUCAUUUAGAGGAAGGUGAAGUCGUAACA